GGGGAAUAUUGCACAAUGGAGGAGACUCUGAUGCAGCAACGCCGCGUGAGUGAUGAAGGUCUUCGGAUUGUAAAGCUCUGUCUUCUGGGACGAUAAUGACGGUACCGGAGGAGGAAGCCACGGCUAACUACGUGCCAGCAGCCGCGGCAAUACGUAGGUGGCAAGCGUUGUCCGGAUUUACUGGGCGUAAAGGAUGUGUAGGCGGAUAUUUAAGUGAGAUGUGAAAUCCCCGGGCUUAACUUGGGGGCUGCAUUUCAAACUGGAUGUCUAGGGUGCAGGAGAGGAAAGCAGAAUUCCUAGUGUAGCGGUGAAAUGCGUAGAGAUUAGGAAGAAUACCAGUGGCGAAGGCGGCUCUCUGGUCUGUAACUGACGCUGAGGCGCGAAAGCGUGGGGAGCAAAC
Molecule: ribosomal RNA, 400 nt
Filed under: uncultured bacterium
Lineage: Bacteria
Description: bacterial SSU rRNA
Rfam family: Bacterial small subunit ribosomal RNA
Source: RNAcentral